ACUCCUUGUGAUUAUAACUACACAUCAGCUUGUGAUUAUUUGAAUUUGUUUAUGAUUAUUAUUUUUAUUUUUAUUAGAUGAUAAAACAUGAAUAAUACUUUAUGUGUGACUAAUUUUAAAAAAAAUGAUAAAAUUUUUAAUUAGACGGACAGUCAAACAUUAGACACGGAUUCUCAUGGCUGCACUUAUU
Molecule: non-coding RNA, 190 nt
Organism: Oryza glaberrima (African rice)
Lineage: Eukaryota; Viridiplantae; Streptophyta; Magnoliopsida; Poales; Poaceae
Source: Rfam